UAGGGAAUCUUCGGCAAUGGGGGCAACCCUGACCGAGCAACGCCGCGUGAGUGAAGAAGGUUUUCGGAUCGUAAAGCUCUGUUGUAAGUCAAGAACGAGUGUGAGAGUGGAAAGUUCACACUGUGACGGUAGCUUACCAGAAAGGGACGGCUAACUACGUGCCAGCAGCCGCGGUAAUACGUAGGUCUCGAGCGUUGUCCGGAUUUAUUGGGCGUAAAGCGAGCGCAGGCGGUUUGAUAAGUCUGAAGUUAAAGGCUGUGGCUCAACCAUAGUUCGCUUUGGAAACUGUCAAACUUGAGUGCAGAAGGGGAGAGUGGAAUUCCAUGUGUAGCGGUGAAAUGCGUAGAUAUAUGGAGGAACACCGGUGGCGAAAGCGGCUCUCUGGUCUGUAACUGACGCUGAGGCUCGAAAGCGUGGGGAGCGAACAGGAUUAGAUACCCUGGUAGUCCACGCCGUAAACGAUGAGUGCUAGGUGUUGGAUCCUUUCCGGGAUUCAGUGCCGCAGCUAACGCAUUAAGCACUCCGCCUGGGGAGUACGACCGCAAGGUUG
This 550-nucleotide ribosomal RNA is filed under the name uncultured bacterium. Its description in RNAcentral is "bacterial SSU rRNA". It matches the Rfam family "Bacterial small subunit ribosomal RNA", at positions 355 to 896 of the family's 1533-position model. The record is from RNAcentral.